UGAGCCAGACUUCAGAAAGCCACUCCAAACAGCUGAGUUUACGGGUUUCUUCUUCGAGGUUUCGAGCCUUCCUUAUUAUUUUUGCAUUUUACCUUCAUUAUUUGAGGAAGAAGACUGAAUCUAAUGAAGGAGAAGGUGGAAGGAGUGGAGAUAAGGGUAAACAGUGUACCUGACAACCACUAAGAUUGAUUACAACGCAGCAGCCAUGGGUGAGGCGGGAGAGGCGCCGACCCCAGCCGUGGUGAAAGAGGGAUGGCUCAACAAGCGAGGCGAGCACAUCAAGAACUGGCGGCAGCGGUACUUCUUCCUCCUUGAGGAUGGGACGCUCCUGGGCUUCAAGACCAAGCCAGAACAUGGGCUGGCAGACCCCCUUAAUAAUUUUACUGUUAAGCGCUGCCAGAUUCUUAAAACAGAGAAGCCACGUCCCAACACUUUUAUCAUACGAGGUCUACAUUGGACGACUGUCAUUGAACGAACUUUUAAUGCACAGUCUGCCAGUGACAGAGAAGCAUGGAUGGAAGCAAUCAAGCAAGUGGCAGAGCGGAUAGCAGAGGUGGAUGCGACGUCUGGCCAGAAUGUCCAAAUCCAGCCUGCAGAUUGUGUUGACAUAAAACUCAAUUAUUCACAGGAAGAUGAUGAUGGGCUUGGGGCGAGAAGCUCAAAGAAGAAAAGAAAAAUUACACUGGAUAACUUUGAAUUCUUAAAGGUACUUGGGAAAGGCACAUUUGGGAAAGUAAUCUUGUGCCGAGAGAAGAGUAGUAAUCACUUUUAUGCUAUCAAGAUCCUUCGUAAGGAUGUAAUAAUUAAGCGUGAUGAAGUUGCUCACACUCUGACAGAAAACCGGGUGUUGCAAAGGGUAGACCACCCUUUCCUUACGUACCUCAAGUACUCGUUUCAAACAAAUGACCGCCUGUGCUUUGUGAUGGAGUAUGUGAAUGGUGGAGAGCUCUUCUUCCAUCUCAACCAGGAGCGCAUCUUCCCAGAAGAACGUGCCAAAUUCUAUGGGGCCGAGAUCUGCUUGGCUCUGGGAUACCUCCAUGAGAGAAACAUUAUAUAUCGUGAUUUAAAGCUAGAGAACUUACUCUUGGAUGCUGAUGGUCACAUUAAGAUUGCUGAUUUUGGCUUAUGCAAAGAAGAUAUAUCCUAUGGUUCUACUACACGAACUUUCUGUGGUACGCCAGAGUAUCUGGCUCCAGAGGUACUUGAAGAAAAUGACUAUGGACGAGGUGUUGACUGGUGGGGUUAUGGAGUGUGCCUUUAUGAGAUGAUGGUAGGACGUCUUCCCUUUUACGACAAAGAUCAUGACAAACUCUUCCAGCUCAUCGUUUGUGAAGACGUAAGAUUCCCACGUACAAUAUCACAAGAAGCACGAGACCUUCUUAGGGGCCUGCUGCACAAGGACCCAAACACACGUCUUGGAGGUGGACCCAGAGACGUGAAGGAGGUUCAGAAUCACCCCUUCUACAUCACCAUCAACUGGGAGUUACUAGAGGAAAAGAAAAUUACACCUCCUUUCAAACCACAAGUAACAAGUGAGACAGACACGCGCUACUUUGACAGAGAGUUUACUGGAGAGUCUGUGCAGCUGACUCCCCCAGACCAGGGAGAACAUCUCAACAGUAUUGAUGAGGAGUCUGAGUACUUUACUUUCAACCAGUUUUCAUAUCAGGACAUCUCAUCAACCCUAGGCAGCUCAUUAGCAUCAAGUCUCAAUUCCCUAGACGUUACAGAAGAAGGGUAAAGUGAAACUAUGUAUGGAGGCUCUUUGAGGAGAUUGAUGAAAAAUGAAGUUUUGAAAAUAUAUAAAAACAGACAAGAUAUUACACCCUGAGAUCACCCACCUUAUUGUCAGAAUGAUGAGAAAACAGGACAUGUGUUGGUAAAUCUUGGUAGUUCUUUUCUGUUAAUCUCACAGCUGACUUGAAAUUUGUCUUCAAUUUCAUUUUCAUAUUGUCCUCCUCCAUCUUCUAUUACUACUACUACUCUUGACUUCUGUUCCCACUCCACCUCCUCCUCCUCCUCCUCCUCCUCCUCCUCCUCCUGCCCUUUUUUUUUCUUUUUCUCAUCCUCCAUCUUAUUUUCUUUUGUUGUAUUAUUUCUUCAUUUUGUUCAGAGGCAAAUUAAUAAGAAUUGACAAAUAUGAAAUAGAGAAGGUUUGCAGUUCACUCUCUUUCAGAGGCAUUAUUUUUUAUAUUCUGUAAUAGUUUAGGGCAUUAUUUUCUCAUGGUAAAAUUAAGAUAUUGGCAACAUUGGGUUUGAUUUAGGGAAAGGCUUAUUUACUGUUCAUGCAUAGCAAAAUGUCAUGAGAAUUUUACCUCAGUUUACAUAUAUAAUUUAGUUACCAGAAUUGUAGGCAACUAUUAUACUAGAAAUAGAGACAGAUCUUUUUAAAAGGCAGCUAUCUUUAAUUUGCAUCUUAUUACAUGCUGAGUGAAGACGAGAAAAGGAGUAGUUGUUUUUUUAACUUUUCAAAGCUCUGUCAACUUGUUGGAUUCAUCAGUUAUCUCAGCUUGAAGGAUUAAAUGAUCAUUUUUAGCCAUUUAAACCUUUUUUUACUAGUUUCAAACCAUAUAUGUACAGUCCUUCACAUUUAAUCUUUGAAUUUCAUCGGUUGUAGAGUGCAAUGUCUCUUAGAGGUUUUUCAAAUUAAUCAUAACUCAACAGCCCCUUUAUAUUAAUAAGAAAUAUUUUUUUUCUCCUAUCUCUCUAUUUCUCUCUUUCUCUCUGUUUUAAAGAUUUCUUCUUGAAAUCGUUUUUGAUAUCGAAGUCUGUUGUGUGACAUGUAUAAAUGUACAUGUAUAGUUCUUCAUGAAGAGAGCAUCGUAGGAUAUAUACACAUUGUGUAUAUGGUUCUUUCUUUUCUUUCAGUCUUAUUAGACUAGUUCUUGAUAUUUCCUCUAACAUAAAUUUUCAAAGUAUGCUAAUGGAAUAUAAGUAUUUCAUGUAGAGAAAGGAUAUAUGUGUGUGUAUAUAUAUUUCAAGUAACUUCUUUUAUGUUCUUGAUAGAAGUUGAUUUCAUAUUGAAUCUAAGAUUGAAUUUCACAGGUUUCUUGACAAGGAAUAAAAAGCAGCAGGAGUUUCAAAGCACAAAAUGACUCUCUUUCUUGUCAUAAUGACCUAUGUGACUCAAAUCUUGUAUCUAUGAAUUGUUUAGUGGAUUAAUUUGAAUGUAAUGUGUCUGGAUUAUAUGCAUUACUGAAUCUUUUUCCAUUGAUUUACAUUUGAAUAUCCCAAUGAAGAUCUUAAAGACAAACUAGACAUGUAGAUAGUCUCAUAAUUUGACUCUUCAUGCCUAUUCAGUCUGUGCAGUAUUGUUAUUGGUAGGCAAAUGUUUAUUUAUGUUCACUCCACAUUGAAAUCAUUUAUGUAUUUUUUUUUCAAUAUUGUAUUUUUUUCUGUCAUGAAAUAAGAAAAGAUAAGGAUCUUGUUAUACUGACAAUUUCAGUAUUACUUAUUAGAAGUUUAAAGCUGAGUGCCAUUAUAUUCAUCUGUUGAAUGGAACUCAGGAAGCAAAAUAUGAAUAACUGUAAUAGGAAUUUCCCUCCCCCCUUUUUUCUAUUUUCUCUUUGAUGAUGAGAUAUAGUAUGCAUAUUCAAUUGUGCACGCUAUAGCUUUCAGAAAGAUUCUUUAGCUGUAACCUUCAGUUACAGAGAAAGAUGUAACCAUAGUGAUGUUACAGGAAUUUUCAAUAUCUUGAGUGUAAUUACCCAUCUUCCUGCUUUGCAAUUUCUAGCCUUGUUUGCAAUACCUUUGUACCUCAUAAAAAGAGAACAAAAAAAAGUCUUUUGAUAUGAAGAUUCUUCAAACCAUGAUCAUUUCCGUUUUUUCUUAUCCUAGGAACAAUAUUGUUGUUAUUUCUAUCCUCCUCAUGCGUUUGUGAGAUAAAUUGGUAAAUUUUAUCAUAUUAAAUGUUUUGUUUUUUCCAGGCUCUUUUUUAAGUUUUUAUUAUAUUGCUAUUUGCAAUAACAAGUCUCUUGCACUAGCUCAAAGUUUGUGAUAGGAUUCACAUAGGCCAAAUGUAAAGAUGUGCUAUAGAAAAAACGCCCUAAAGAAGUGAAAUUACCCAAGUUACACCCUUAUCUUUAGUGAUUCCCAGUAAUUGUGAAGGUAGAAUUCACGCCCAAACAUGCUAAUAACUAAAUAUGAGCUUAUUUCUUCACAGUAAGGAAACAGAGGCCAAGAUAUGCAUUUUUUUAUAUUUCACCGUCAGAACUUUUCGGCAUCUUGUUAGGGGGAUAAAUUGAUUGUAUCUUUUAUUUUGGUUAUUCUGAGAAAGUAAUUUAUAUACUUGCAUUUACCAUGUUUUUUGUCUAGUCUGGAUAUUGUAGUUGUUGUGAUAAAGUAUUAGCUAUUUCAGAUGAAGGUAAUUUGCUCUAACAACCCUGAUGUUCAUUCUGUAAUGCUGCAAAAUGGAAAAUGAGAGAUUAAACAUUUUGGCUAAAGAAGAAAGACUCUUCUAUGGAAUAGGAUUAUAUCUGCCUCUAUUCUGUGACCUUUAGUGUAGGAAAAUGCCUUUCUUGAUGUUACUCUUUAAGUGACACUUAGGAAACAACAAACUAACUCCAAAAAUGUCAUUAUUUUAAAUUUUUACAGAGAUAUGAAUGUAGGUGUUGUGAUUCCCUUUUAUGCAUAAUAAAUAUGAUGAGUUAAAGAGCCUCUGGCAAGUAAGACAGCUGGACCCAAGGCUCUUGCUUGUCAAAUCUUGGAGUUAUAAGUCAGUUCUAGAGAUAUUAAAGGAGAAGUACCAGUUGUUUUGCUUUUGUUCAUUAGUUCCUAUAACUACUUCUCACAAAUAUAGUCUUGGAUACAUUUGUUUGAGCUUUUUUGGAUAUACAGUAUGAUGCAUGGGCUGUUUAUAUUAAAUAAACCCUAGCCCUUUAUUUUGAAGAAAAAAUAAAUCAACCUUCCACCUCUGUUCUUGUGUCAAAGAGUUAUAUAAUUUUCUUUAUUUUUGUCACUCCUUUCAUUUAAAAGUUCUUAUGAAUACUGUAUCUAUUGUGUAUCCUGAAUAGACCUCAAUUUUUAUUGGAUAAUGUAUACCAUGUUAAACAUGUUGUUGUCAGAUUUUCUUUAAUCUUUCUUUAUUAUUUUAUCUGGUAAAAUAUGCUUAUAAAUUUACUAUUUGUAUUUGUUUUGUGUUCCUAGUAUUUAAUGACCUUCCGAAAUUAUACACCACAGUUUAUAGUUAUAUUACCUAUAAUGUAACUUAAGAAAAUAAUAAUAAUAAUUUAAUGUAGUGGACUUACUUAAGCAGUUGUACUGUUUUUAAUUGCAGGAUUGAGUCUUGCCUGAUUAUUAUAGUGAAUCCUUUCCUGUCAUUGUAGGUGUCAACAGUCCUCUGUUGUUCUGGAGAUCUUUUGGAAUCACAUUUUAGUGAAAAUAUUUAAACUGAAUUACUUGUACAUGGGAUAUGACUAAUUUUCUCAUGUUUGACUAUGCCACAUAGAUAUAUCCUGACUUAUUAGAAGUAGAUGAAAAAAUAGAUUUUCACUUUUUUCUCUCUCUUUUUUUAACAUGGGUUUCUGGUUAUAUUCCAGUUCCUUUUGUAGCUCAAAGGAGGUGCUUGACAGUUACUCUUUAUUUCAGAUUGCUUGUCAACCCUUACAUAAUGCACAUGGUCAGUGCUGUAUACAUAUAUAUGUUAGUAAGGGAGGUAGAAUGGUGUUUAAGAAUCUAUGAAACCCUUUCAGAUGUAUUGUAUUUACCCAUUUUUAGAGAAGACUGGAGGAAUAAAUACUUUGGCAAGAUUUAGAGAUCUGGAAAGACAUAUUUAGCAUUACAUGUCAUGUUUUGAUAUGCUAAAUACAGAGAAGAAUUGCAAAGAAAUUAAGUGGAUCCCAAAUUAUGCAUAUUUAUAUUUGCUUCUGGUGUAUAUAUAGUAAUACUGUAUAGGAUAUAGUAAUAUGGGCAGUAUUACCAAUCAUUUUCUAGAGAACAGCACAAAAUUCUUUUCUUUCUCUCUUUCUUGUCAUAUCUUAGAUUUAUGGAAAGAAUGAUUACAAGAUGAAACUCCCUUAAAAGCAUGUGUUGCUAAUUUGCCUGAUGUUGGUUCCGAUAUAAUUCAUUGCAAACAGACUUUCCCAAACAUUGCACAAAUGGAAUGAAAGUGUGAUAUGAUCCUGUAAUAGGUGUUGCACCUGAAUCACUUCAAGAGCCGCCCAGAAUUUCAUUUUAAAUGUAAAUUGUAUGAUGCUAGUCUCAGGUUCCUCCAUUGCUGGAACUGACAUCAGUGUUUUAUGUCAUCAUUAGUAAAACUAUUGAUUGAGCUGUUCACCAACUAGUUACACUAGGACUUAGAAAAGGUAAUGGAUGUAUACUAAACACACCACUGUUAGUCUGAAAAAUACCAGAUUCUAAUUUUGAGCUGUUAAAAAUGAGUGUCCUUACAAUGCUAAGACCCAAAGCACACAACUAAAUCAUGGGUUUCGGCUAAAGAAAAAUGAGGAGGAUAAUGCUGAAAAAUUGCAUGACACCAGAUGUCAGAUGUGUGUGAAAGAAUCUUUCAAUUGAGAUGCUUGAAACAGAUAAAUAGAUUACAAAAAUGCUUACAUUAUGUACACCACUUACUAAAUUUUGGGGUUCACAUAAUUUCUCACCUGAAAAUAUCAAAUGGAAGAAUACAUGGUGGACGAAAGGUUUAAAUGAGACUGAAUAACUUCACAAUGUAAGAGAUUUAAUUAACAUGUUCUGAUUAAAUCUUCAUAAGAAUUUCAUGAUUUCAUCAAAACAUUAAUCACAUUUCAGGUUGUGAAGUUAUUCAUUCUCAUUUAUACCUUUAUCUACAGAUGUCACAAUGAACUUUGAUCAUGUUCAACUAUGUAAUAUUUCUGAAUGCCAUGUAUUUAAUCAUACAGUCUUAAUUUCUUUUCAAAGAAUAAGUGAUAUUCUGCUUAGCUUUCACCUAAAAAGAGGAUAAAUACAGUAUCCAUAAGGGUUCAAUGAACCUUACAGCACCUCUGUACUGUGUUCUCAAAAGAUGCAUGCUGUUAGUAUGUGGACAAAAUGAGCUUACUAUUAUAUCACGAAUUAUGGCAGGAAAAAAACAAGUUUGUUUGCUAUUUAGAAAGAAACUUUGAAAAGAAAUGGUUUAAAACAUUUUAUAAUGUAUGUAUAUGUAUUUUGUACAGUGUGUAUCAUAAUAUUACUUAUGUUGGAAUAAGGUAUUGCUGUAAACUGAUCCAUUUGU
Molecule: unclassified non-coding RNA, 7186 nt
Filed under: Penaeus japonicus
Lineage: Eukaryota; Metazoa; Arthropoda; Malacostraca; Decapoda; Penaeidae
Description: rAC-alpha serine/threonine-protein kinase-like, transcript variant X4
Source: RNAcentral